RNAcentral lists this unclassified non-coding RNA (378 nucleotides) under Hevea brasiliensis (rubber tree). Lineage: Eukaryota; Viridiplantae; Streptophyta; Magnoliopsida; Malpighiales; Euphorbiaceae. The record is from RNAcentral.
AUUGAAAUAUCCAUGACAUGCUUUGAAGGGAGACAUUUUUCCCUGGCUGGAUCUUGUUUUCCACACUUUUCCUGGCUUCCCUCAUUUUCUUUCUCACUCUGUACGACUGAUACUUGAGUCGAUGACUGUCAAAUCAAACCUCAAAGAAAAGUCACCUGUUCUGUUCAGACAAACCCUUCUUAUCACUAGAAAGUAGAAAUAAAACCACAAAUGCAACCUGUCACACCCAUGUUCCCCAACCACCCAAAAAGAUCACUACCCCUGUCUGGAAAAAAGUUAGAAGGUUGGGAGGAGAAAGUGGAGGAAUAGGAAUUGAAGGGAGGGAGAGAAUAAUUUUCUCUCUUUUUAGGAAAGUGAAGAAGGGUGGGGUGAGAAAGG